Molecule: ribosomal RNA, 465 nt
Filed under: Vreelandella stevensii
Lineage: Bacteria; Pseudomonadati; Pseudomonadota; Gammaproteobacteria; Oceanospirillales; Halomonadaceae
Description: partial 16S ribosomal RNA
Rfam family: Bacterial small subunit ribosomal RNA
Source: RNAcentral
CCUACGGGGUGCAGCAGUGGGGAAUAUUGGACAAUGGGCGAAAGCCUGAUCCAGCCAUGCCGCGUGUGUGAAGAAGGCCUUCGGGUUGUAAAGCACUUUCAGUGGGGAAGAAAGCCUUGGGGCUAAUACCCUCGAGGAAGGACAUCACCCACAGAAGAAGCACCGGCUAACUCCGUGCCAGCAGCCGCGGUAAUACGGAGGGUGCGAGCGUUAAUCGGAAUUACUGGGCGUAAAGCGCGCGUAGGCGGUCUGAUAAGCCGGUUGUGAAAGCCCCGGGCUCAACCUGGGAACGGCAUCCGGAACUGUCAGGAGAGAGUGCAGGAGAGGAAGGUAGAAUUCCCGGUGUAGCGGUGAAAUGCGUAGAGAUCGGGAGGAAUACCAGUGGCGAAGGCGGCCUUCUGGACUGACACUGACGCUGAGGUGCGAAAGCGUGGGUAGCAAACAGGAUUAGAUACCCUGGUAGUC